AUGAACGUUGGCGGCGUGGAUUAGGCAUGCAAGUCGAGCGAGAACCCGCAAGGGGGACAGCGGCGAACGGGGUAGGACAACGUAGGUAACGUACCCUCGGGGCGAGGACAGCCACGGGAAACUGUGGGUAAUACUCGAUAAUGUUCCCAAUCUUGAUUGGAGGGGAACCAAUGGGUGUGAUUCCACCCGGGGAGCGGCUUACGCAGUAUCAGCUUGUUGGUGAGGUAACGGCUCACCAAGGCUAUGACGCUUAGGGGAUGUGAGAGCAUGAUCCCCACCACUGGCACUGAGACACUGGCCAGACACCUACGGGUGGCUGCAGUCGAGAAUCUUCGGCAAUGGACGCAAGUCUGACCGAGCGACGCCGCGUGCGGGAUGAAGGCCCUCGGGUUGUAAACCGCUGUCAGAGGGGAUGAAGUGUACGGGAGUUAUCUCCUGUAUUUGACAGAGCCUCAGAGGAAGCACGGGCUAAGUUCGUGCC
RNAcentral lists this ribosomal RNA (481 nucleotides) under uncultured Planctomycetales bacterium. Its description in RNAcentral is "bacterial SSU rRNA". It matches the Rfam family "Bacterial small subunit ribosomal RNA", at positions 29 to 509 of the family's 1533-position model. The record is from RNAcentral. Lineage: Bacteria; Pseudomonadati; Planctomycetota; Planctomycetia; Planctomycetales.